This 2581-nucleotide long non-coding RNA is filed under the name Homo sapiens (human). Its description in RNAcentral is "HSALNT0009476". The record is from RNAcentral. Lineage: Eukaryota; Metazoa; Chordata; Mammalia; Primates; Hominidae.
CUGACCUGGGCCCACUGUCUGGCACUCCCUAGUGAGAUGGACCCGGUACCUCAGAUGGAAAUGCAGAAAUCACCCGUCUUCUGCGUCGCUCCGAAAGAGUGGACCAGGAGGAGUUUUCAGAGGAGUCUGUGAUAGGCGCUUUGUGACUCCAGGACACGUUGAGUAUACGUGAUUGAUGAAACCAAUGGUACAUCUGGAACACUGGCUGAAAUGAAGAAUGGAAAAUGUUAGCUUUCCAGGCCUCCUCAGGCCAGGAAGGCAUACUGGAGAGAUACGGCAGCAGAGUCACACAAGCAAGGCAGCUGGAUUUGUGACAAUGAGAGAAGCGCGGGGUCAAAGAACAUAGAGUGUUUUGAGAACAGUGUCUCCAGAUGAGAGGGAAGAGAACUGAGUCUUGCUACGUUGCCCAGGACUGACUCAAAACUUCUGGGACCAUGCAAGCCUUCUGCUUCCUGAGUAACUGGGGACUACAGCUGAAGAUAUUAUGAGAGAUUUAAAGGUAAAAUUACAUACAGUUAUGCGAUUGGAUGCCAUCUGUGAUUUGUGUACAUCUACUGGUGAAUGCUCAGCAUGUAAAAGUGUGCUUCUAUAUGGUGGCCUAAAGCAAAAAACUCUCAAAAAAUAACAAAUACACCUAACAGGCAUGGAACAAUUCUUAAGGAAACAAAAUAAGAUGCACAGGAAAGCAGAUGGAGGCAGAUAUGAGUCUCACUCUGGUGGAUUAUUGUUCCAAACAGUAGCAUGAAGUAUUCAUCCGACCAUUUCAGCCGUGAGCUUCCUCUCAACAUUGUGUGAUGACCCAGAUACUGAACUUUUGUCUUUUGCCUUUUACCCCAUUUUCUAGAAUAGACAAUGCACUUUCAACUCCAGGAUGAUCAUGCAGCCUCGGGGGUCAUCAAAUGAAUUGAUUUUUCUUGGCAAUUUUUUCCUAAUAAAGUACAGCUUUCAGGUUUUUUUUUUUCUAUUUCUUUUUAUGCCCCCAAAGGAAGGAUGCCAGAAGCAGCAUAACUUGUUCUUGUCAUGUUAGUGAAUUGUAGAAAUAUUAGCAUUCUGGAUAAGAAUGCCAUGGAAGCCAGGGGCCAAAAGCUCAGCAAUCCAUAUGGUUUGCAAUAUAUACCCUUAGGCAGGCCUCAUGGGUUGUGGUUGUUUAAAAGAAAAAGAACAAACAAAUACAAAACCAAACAAAAUCAGAGGGAGAAGUAAAAAGUAAUUUCUUGAGUGAGAAAUCAGGAUGGGGGAGUCUGCCCUUUAAAACUGAUCUCCUUUGUCUGCAGUGCCCCUAAACUUGUCACCCAAUUACUCAUGGAGGAAGUCUGCAUAGACCUACAUGGGCACCCUCACAGGAAGGCAAACUCAGAUCUAUUUCCGUAUCCACCUUGUAAUUAGUUUGUACAGGGGAAAUUACUGUGGACUAAUGGAGUAGCCUCUUUCCAUUUGUGGCUUCUCUGUUAGUUUUCAGCAGGGAAAGUGUGGGACAGAAAAUUUGCUUUGUAAAAACCACAUAAAACUUUUCAAGGUACUCUUAACUCCUAGCUCUCUUAGAAAAUUAAGGUUUCCUUCUCCUAAAAGUCUAUGUUAGCUUGUUUUCAAAUAAAGUUUUGAGUUAUGUUAUUCUCUCACUAAAACUUUACCAUCAAAGUAAUACUGAAUAUAGUCACUCCUUGUAGAUGUUAGGCUGUGAUAACAAUAAUAAUAAUCUUGCAUAGUUGAUUAUAAUUUCAACAAUGAAAACACUCAUUUUAUAUUAUUAAGAUAUGAACUUAAAAUUGUACAAAUUGUAUUACAGUCUAAAUUUAUGUGAGACAGAGAAAAUAACAUUCUCAGAUGUUUUAUAAGAGACCAUUGACUAAUAAUACUUAAGUUCAAUUAUUUAAUCAUGUGCCUAUGAAGUUUAUCUAAACCUAUUUAUAAAACUCAUCUAUAUAUUAGUAUAUUAAUGCUUUGCUUACUUCUAAUUUUUAUUUUUUAUUUUAUUUUACUUUUUGAGACAAAGUCUGGCUCUGUCACCCAGGCUGGAAUGUAGUGGCACUAUCUUGGCUCACUGCAACCUCCCCAUCCUGGGCGCAUGUGAUCCUGAUCCUCCCACCUCCGCCUCCUGAGUAGCUGGGACCACAGUUGUGCUCCAGUAUGCCCAGCUAAUUUUGUACUUUUGGUAGAGAUGGGGUUUCACUGUGUUGUCCAGGCUGGUCUUGAACUACUGCACGCAAGUGAUCCACCAGCCUCGACUUCCCAAAGUGCUAGAAUGACAGGCAUGAGCCACUGUGCCGGCCCGAUACUUUGCUUACUUCUAAGGAUUAAUUUUAUGUGAUGAUUCUUUGCUAACAAUGAAGUUUUUUUGUUUUGUUUUGUUUUUUGUUUUUUGGUUUUUUUUAGUUCUACUGCAUAGUGUGGUAAAUACAGUUUAUAGAGUAUUGAACAUUUCCAAAUGGCUAAAAGAGUAAAUUUUAAAUGUUCUCACUAAAAAAAUGCUAAGUAUUUAAGGUGAUGGAUAUGUUAAGCAGCUUGAUUUAAUUUUUAUUCCACAUUAUACUCAUAAAUCAUAACAUUACUUUGUACCCCGUAUAUUUAUACAGCUAUAGAU